Cygnus olor (mute swan) is the source of this 3174-nucleotide long non-coding RNA. RefSeq lists it as uncharacterized. The transcript has 2 exons. The record is from RefSeq and is a predicted model, not a curated record. Lineage: Eukaryota; Metazoa; Chordata; Aves; Anseriformes; Anatidae.
UGCUGGUGGAGGCACAGGGGUGUAUGAGGAGACCCCGUCCUCCAGGUCCUCGCCUCCCUGCCCCACGCCGGGACCACCGCUGCCUGCCCAUCCCUGGCGGGCUCGGCCCCCAUACUGCAUCCCUGCGUCACCGCAGCCCUCCGGCACCGCGCGCCCCAUCCCGCAGCCCCCCCAUGUCCUCCCUCGAGAGCCUCUGCCUCGAUUCAGCGCCCCCAGCCUUGGCUGGCUCGGGAAAUAUGUUUCCUGAUGCUUCUCAUUUUUCCCACGCUCCCUGCUGCCGGCUGCGGAGCAGCGGAUGAGCGGGGAAGAAAUCCGCCCUAACGCCCGUGCCCCGCUCGGUCCUGGUGCCAGAAGUGCGUCUCCCCCCCUCUCCCCAAGCCCCCCACAAACAUUUGCCUUUGUACUUCAAAAACCACGCUGAGAACCAGCUGGGCAGCAUGCAAAUGCCCUCAAACCCAUCCAAACGGGCUGGGAAGAGCAUCCCCAUCCUGCCAGUGCAGCCCCGACCUCUCCUCACCCCAGCCCCGCUCCUCGGCAGCUUCGCCCCACGGAGGGGACGCUGAGCACGUGGGCGCCGGCAGCCUCCACUGCCUCUGCUCCACACUGUAAAGCUGAGAUUUACAGGUGGCCGGAGGAGACCAGAGCUGGGCAGCCUUUAUGGAGCCUCAUUAGGAGCUGCAGGUAUGCCGAGAAUGUCGCAGCUAAUUACAGCUGGGCUCGGCGGGGGACAGGGGUGCACAGCUGGGGGGGCGCUGGGGUCGCUGGCCGCGGGGCCGGGAUGGAGCUGCGAGGUUCUUGGCACGAGCGGGGCCCAGGCUCGAGGGCUCGGCUCCAGUGCGGAGCCCCGGGGUCGGCCAGGUCCCAGGCCCCAGCGGCCCCGUGGAGCUGCGCCACUUCCCAGCUCUCGCGCUCCCUGUGCCGGAGCCAAGGUCCCUUCCCAAAGGCCUGGGGACGUGCUCGGCAGCUGCCGUGUGCCCCCAUCCUCGCUGCCCUGCUGCUCCCCGGCUCUGCUUGCUCCAUCGGAGACUCCCCGAGCCCAGCCCAGCCGCAGGCAGGCUCCAGGCAGGGCUGAGGUCCUGGCCAUGCACAGGGCACCAAACCUGCGCUGACCUGGGGAAGAACCCACCCAGCCUCCUCUGGACCCAGCUUUCCCAUGGAUAAAGCCCCCGGAGGGCUCCAGGACCUGCGCAAUGGCACCAGAACCAAACCAGAGCCCGGGACGUGAUGUGUGGCACCAAACACUGGUGGCGGGAGCUUGGCUGGGAUCCACCGACCUCACCACGUCCCGGGGAGAUGCUGGCGCGGGGCACGGCACAGUGGCAGCACCGGGGGGACCGGGUGGCUCAGCCCUUGGCCACGGCACUCGGCGACGGGACUGCGGGGUCCUUGAGGUCCCCGAAGCAUCCCAUGCUCAGGCAUGGGGCGGUGAGUACCUCACGUGGGGCGUCCCCCGUCCUUCCCUGUCCCCCAGCAGACGCAUCUGUGAAGCCACCUCUGCAGCAGGAAAACCUCAGGGGGCUGAUGGCACCGACUGGCCCCCGUGCCUCGCCACUGCUCAGGAAGGGCAGCGCUUGGGUUCCUCGGGGCAAGGAGCACAGAAACAGUGAGUCCGGAGAGGGAAAGCGAGGUCCUGGCGCGGCGCAGGAACCCUCCUGCAGCCCCAUGGAGAGGCGCGGCCGUGGGCUCAGCCCCACGCUCCCAGCCCCACGCAGGGGCUCACUGGCCCCAGGGCAGCACAGGUGGGGGGCAGCCCCUCCACUCGUCCCUGCACACGCCGGCCUGCACUCUUUUGUCCCCUCAUUUCCCUGAAUUUAAACAAAAGACGCUUCCAACCCACCCAGGGAGGCCGCGGGGAGCAGAGCCGGGUGCCGUGGAGAGAAGUGGCGCUGGCACUGGCUCGGGACCGAGCCCCCUGCGCACCGAGCCCCCACCUCCUCCGUGGCCCCCACACUGCACAGCCCCACCACUGCUCCCGCCCCUGGCCCCCCCAGGCCUGACCUAUAGUCCCACUCGCAUUUACAGCCCAAGCGUCUGCUGUGAAAAGUGACUUCAUGCUGAAUUUGGGCACUGCACGGCGUUACCAGCUCUCACGCUGCAAGCCCCGGCCCUCCUUUUCUUUCGCUCGCUUUCCCACACUUUCCCCCACUCAUUGUGUGCCCGCUGCUUUUUUUCUUCGCCUAUUCAGCCCAAAUUAGUCACGAGCAGCCCCCAGCUUGGAGAGGAAAAAUAAAUUAGGUGGUGUUUUAAACACAGUGUGAUUGGAACGAUUCUCCCCUGCACCCAGGAGGGGAAAGCCCAGCCUUUGAAAGAUGCAGUGUCCUCCACCAACAGCCCCCGCGCACGGCCCUGGGAGCGGGCUGGGGACGUGGCCCCGCGCGGAGCUCACUGGGUUGCGGUGCCAUGGCCAAAGGAGGCUCAGCCCUGGCCAGGGGAGGGGACGGGAAGAAGCUGGACCCAGCCCCAUGUCACGGGGAAGGACUGCGUGGGACACGUGGCCAGGCACCAGGUCCCCGUCCCUGCUCCGGGAAGGGGACAGCACCGGCACCCCCGAGUUUGGUUCUCAGCUUGAUGAGGUUGGAAGCCCGGAGAAGCUGCUGUGACAAAGCCUUGGAUACCAGGAGAGCUCUGUCCGCCCCCCCUUGUCUCUCUGACCACCCAUGGCUCCCGGCACCCACACCAGCAGCAAAGGGAAGCACUGGCCCUGUUGUCCUUACGCACCUCCGUGGCUCCAGCUCCGCUACCGCUGGGUGCCAGCCCCGAGUCCUGCCCCCGGCCGGAGCAGCAGGGUGGCUCCGGGGAGGCGAGAGGGGACGAGGAGCCGGGGCAGGCUGGGAGCAGCGGGCGGCAGCAGCUUUCCCCACGGCCGUGGUGCACCAACACCCAUCCAUCUGUCCGUCCAUCCGUCCGUCCGUCGCGGCUCCAUCCCCGCAGCACGCUCCGGCCCCCAGCGCGGCCGCGCCACACGUCAAACCGACAGACACCAGAAUUGCCUUGGAGAAGCAGUUUUAUUAUGAAACCAAGAACGAAAUGCAGUGUUUGCCCUGACACACUACAAAACAUCUCAAGCAAAUAACCAGCAGAAGGAUCAUGAGCCAAAUAGAAAAUACAUCUUACAAAAUCUGACAUACAAAAAAAAUAAAACAAACGACAGAAUAAAGUUAUUACAUUAAAUCG